RNAcentral lists this ribosomal RNA (292 nucleotides) under uncultured bacterium. Its description in RNAcentral is "partial 16S ribosomal RNA". It matches the Rfam family "Bacterial small subunit ribosomal RNA", at positions 505 to 796 of the family's 1533-position model. The record is from RNAcentral.
GUGUCAGCCGCCGCGGUAAUACAGAGGUGGCAAGCGUUGUUCGGAUUUAUUGGGCGUAAAGGGUCCGUAGGCGGCCUAGAAAGUCGGAUGUGAAAUCCCACAGCUUAACUGUGGAACUGCAUUCGAAACUUCUAGGCUCGAGUGUGAUAGGGGUAUAGGGAAUUCCCGGUGUAAGAGUGAAAUCUGUAGAGAUCGGGAGGAACACCAGUCGCGUAGGCGCUAUACUGGAUCACUACUGACGCUGAGGGGCGAAAGCCAGGGGAGCAAACGGGAUUAGAUACCCCCGUAGUCC